CCAACCCCAAGCGCCGCUGACCCCGAACGUCGCUGCGGGGUAGGUAGGGGGUGGGAGGGUGGAGGACCGCAGGCGAGAGGGAGAAGGAAGGGCGCCCGGGGAGCAGGCUGGCAGAGUGACCGGGAUUGAUGAGCGGCGCAGCUCUGGAGGGACGCGGGCGAGAGGGUCGCUCCUCGGGGAGAGGGCUGGGUGAGUGAGGACCUGCGAGCCACCCCCGACACCCCUUCCAGGGUAGCCACACUGGCGCCCCCUCCUCCACAACAGGCUUAUGUGGCUAGAGAAGAUGCGAUGCCACUGGACAGGGAAGGAAAGUCGUCGUGGACUUCGCUGAAUGGAAAAGGGGGUAGUUGGGGAAGGUGGAGAAAAGAGCCACGGGAAGUGGGAGGAAAGGAUGAAGGGAUGGGACGUUGAAAAGGAAAGCUUCCUGAAUCCCUGUGUGACUCUAACCCAACCUCCCCACCUACCGGAGAAAUGGGUUUUAUCCUAGAAAUGGGGACGAGGAAAAAGAGAUGGCUCAAGGGAGUCCUGGCCCGGGAUGCGAUCCUCGCCCUAGGGUCUAUUGCAACCACACAAACCCGGACAGCGCACGCUCCCCCCUACCCCGACAGAAUAGUGCCUAAGAAACCUGCUUGCCUCCUAACUCUAGGAAGGAAUCCACAACGGAUUCCAGGGAGGUCUUCUGGGGAAUCUGAAUUGGGUUUUUGGAUCACGAACCAUUAAGCUUUUGAACUCUGGGGAAGAAUAGAACAGGUGGCUGGAAAUUGUUUUAGAACCCUACCUGAGCAGGUGUGCUCAUUAGUUGCUUAUCCGCCCUCCUCCUGGAGCACUUUCAUAGGUGUUGGCAAAGCAGGUACCAGUAUUUCACGGAAGGAGAAGGAAGAACCGCCCAGGACUGUGUAUAAAUGUCUAUGGGAAUAUUUUUAAGGAUUCAAAAGGCUAGAAGGAGGUGAGAUCAAAAAAUUUUUCCAGCACCACCCAGUGCAACCCGAUCCUGGACACAGAAAUCUAAAAGAUGAUACUUAAAUACUUGAGUUUGAGAGCCUCUAGUUAUAAGGUUUCCUACGUAACAACCUCUCACUUUUCUCAAAAACUGGCUAGUUGACAACCGGCAGUCAAGUUUUGGCUAGUCAAGAAGCUACUUUUUCCUGCAAUAAACCACAUUUAGAGAUAGUACUGGGCUUCAGCAGGAUUGAGGCUAUAUUGAGGUCGCAAGUAUGAACGAGGUACCCACAGAGAUGGGAGGGCCAGGAGAUCCUACUCAUUCAGUACCUCAGAAGCUAUGACACGGGAUAACAGUAGCUUCAGCCCUUUGGAUGAAAUAAUCCUCACUCCCUCAAAAGUGCUCUCUACCCACUCAAAACACAGGCCAUACUACCACCAAUCUGGUAGACUUCAAAAGUAAGGUCUUUCAGCAGCAGAUUUCCUUGUUAACAGGAAGGUACUGACAAGCUUUACCUAAGCCUAUUGGAGCUAUGUUGUAAUUCUGUAUAUAAAUAGAACAGUCGCUGCAGGAAUACUGGAUGAGUCAGAAGAAAGGUCUGUCCUAAGCUGAUGUGACACAUUUCAAAAGGACCAGAAAUUAGAUGCAAUUGAUGACUGAGUUGAUCUCUAAGUGGAUUUAUCUUUGAAAUAAAAAUCAGUGGAUAUCCCAUAUACCCGACCCCACACCCUCCCCCAUUGUCAACAUCCCCAACCAAAGUAGCACAUUUGCUACAAAUAGUGAACCUACAUUGCCAGAUCAUUAUCACCCAAAGUCCAUAGUUUACAUUAGGGUUCACUCUUGGGGCUGUAUAUUCUAUAGGGUUGGACAAAUAUAGAAUAACAUGAACCCACCCUCAUAGUAUCAUAGUAUCAUACAGAGUAUUUUCACUGCCCUAAAAGUCCUCUGUACACCACCUAUUUAUCCCUUCCUCCCCCCAGUCUCUGGCAGCCACUGAAGUUUGACUGUAUCCCUGUCUCCUUAGUUUUGCCUUUUCCGGAAUGCCAUAUAUAAGGAAUCAUACAGUAUGCAGUCUUUCUUUCAAUUUUGCUGUGAAACUAAAACUGCUAAGAAAAUAAAGUCUUAAAAAGAAAAAUCAAUGGAGAAGGGAAAGGAGGCACUGGCCCCUCUCAAGCCUCGCAUGAGAAUUCAAC
RNAcentral lists this long non-coding RNA (2133 nucleotides) under Homo sapiens (human). Its description in RNAcentral is "HSALNT0075304". Lineage: Eukaryota; Metazoa; Chordata; Mammalia; Primates; Hominidae. The record is from RNAcentral.